This 12639-nucleotide long non-coding RNA is filed under the name Musa acuminata (dwarf banana). RNAcentral describes it as "long non-coding RNA (MACU_LNC006395)". Lineage: Eukaryota; Viridiplantae; Streptophyta; Magnoliopsida; Zingiberales; Musaceae. The record is from RNAcentral.
GAAGAACCACAGCAGAAGAAGGGAAGACUCGGCCGAAAUCGUCACCGGGUGAUGCCAGAGCCUCUGCCACUGUCGCGUCACACAGAAGCCGACCAAAUCGUUCUGAACCUAAAGAAAAGUACAACAACAAACCAGCAACACUAAUGUUGGUGGCGACGUUGAUCGCCACCAUCACAUUCGCAGCUGGGCUGAACCCCCCUGGUGGGUUUAAGCAGAAAGAUGAUGGUGGGUCGACUCCCCCCAUUGCAGAAGUCAAUUUUGAUGAGAGUUCAAGUGAAGGGGAGGCAGUUCUAAAAGAUGAUCUCGAGUUAUUCCUACUGUUCGACAUGUUCGGGUUGUUUGCAUCCUUGAGCAUCAUCCUCUUGUUGAUAUGUUGUGUGCCCAGACAGACUAAAAUGGUGAUGGGAAUCCUAAAGUGGAUUCUAUGGCUGGCGGUGUUCUCGACGGCAUUAGCAUUCUCGACCGCCAUUGUGCGAAUAUUUUCCUAUCAGCUCUACACUGUCAUCCUUCUCAUGAGUUGGUUCGGAAUUCUCAGUCUCUUCAUGAUUUGGGUGUGCUUUAGAGCGAUCAGAGGCUUGUUGCGCAAAGGUGGAUGCUGGAAGAAGAAAGAUGGAGAAGGAGAAAGCCAGGGAGUCCCCACAAGGGCCGUUGCCAUCCGCACGAAGAUUGUGGUGGGCGCGUUGAUGAUAAUUAUCUUUGGAGUAGUUCUUAUUGUAAAUUAUUUAGUGUUUGUUUAUAUAUUAAAUAUGCCAAAUAAUAGAAUAAUAUGAUCUAUCAUUAUUCUUAUAUGGUUUAUCCUUUAUCAUCCUUUAAAGUUACUUUAUCUUAUUUUCAGAAUGUAAUUUGCUUUAAUCAUUAUUAACUUUGGUUUUGUUGUUACAGAUGAUUUAUUAGAGUUUUGUGGAACAUUAUAUCUCUUACAUAUUAAUGAUGUAUUUAUUUAAAAACACUGGAUUCAGCAAAUCUAAAACUAAUCAAUAGUACAAUGAUGCACUAAUAUAUUUAUAAAAUCUUAAAUAUCUGAAUCAUUAUCCAUACUUGAAUAAUUUAGAACCGACAUAAUAUUAAAUGGUGCAUAAAAGAUAACAAGGAUUUAAUGUAUAGAAUUAUCAAUUAUUAACAACUGUGUGCCUAUACUUAUGUUGCACUUCAAAAAAAACAUAAUUAAUCCUUCAUAAAUACUUUUUUUUUAUUAUAUGAAAGGAAUUUAGAAUAUCUUUUAUGUCUAAUUUGGAUUUUUUUCUGUAUCAACUAUAAUAUUUUUAUAUUAUUACUAUUUUUAUUUAAUUUUUUAGGAUAUUCAUUUUAUUUGGAAAAAUAAUGAAUGUAUUCUUCAAAUAUGUAUUAUGCAACCCCUCUGCUACAUGUUUUUAUUGUCAUCAACUCUUUCGGUGGUUAUUAUUAUUAUUAUUAUUAUUAUUCUUUUAAAGGCUGAUGUCACAAUUUAUUGUUCAAUUACAUUUAUUUUUUUCCUUUUCAUCAAGCUUUUAAAAUUUGUUCUACGAUGAAGAUGGAUUUACAACUAUAGACUUGUCAUAAGUUUUUUUUAUUUUUAUUAUAAAAAUAAGUAUUAAUUACUCUUAUAUAUGUUAUAUGUAUAGUAAUAUGGUUAAAUUCCCCAAAAAUCAAAAUUCAAUAUACAAAUUUAUAAUUUCAUAAUAAAAUUACAAGUUAUCAUCAAUUUCAAGUGAAAUUAGUAGGGAGAACCCACCUCAAUCAUAUAUCACAUGACUAUUAGCUCAGCAUAAAGAACAAACCUAUGUCAUAUGAUAGACACCUAAGUCCCACAAAAAAAGGCUUGUUAUAAAGAUUCUUCAAUUUACUAUUAUCAAUAUCAAUUACUGUUUACUCAUGAUUUCACUUUUUAUUUCAAUCUUAAUUUGAGUAUAGAUGGGAUUAGAUGAGACGCCCAACUUUAUCUUUUUUUACAUUGAUCAUCGAAUAAGCAAACAAGCAUUAGAGUCAUCCUUUUAGUUGUCUUUUUCUCUCAAGCAUGAUCACAAUUUUACUAUGCUUAAUCCGAGAUACGAUAACAGUUCCACCGACCCAUCCAUUCGAAGUCGAAGAAUCAUCCAUAUGACACAAAGGUUUUUUAAAUAUGUCAACCGUUUUAACCCUAAGUGUCAAAUAGGUGUUAAUUAUGUGACAUUGAUGAAUUGUGUCAAUCAUGUGAUAUGAAGGUAUAAUCCACAUGAUGCUAAAGUAUCGAUCAUAUCUUUAUUCCUAUAUUAUAUUUUAAUAUAUUUUAUUAAAUGACUCAGAUAACUUGAUUUAUAAAGAUUUUGACUCUUAAUCGGAAGAUUAUAUAUUCACAAUCAACUCAUGUAUUUUAAUGCCAUAAUAUUUUUAAAAAAUACUAUUGUAAAAAAUAGAAUGGAGGAAAAAAUGAAAAUAUAAAAAGUAUAAGCUUGAGUUUUUUCCCAUAAAUAUAUCCUCCUUUACGAAAGAUGAUGCCUAUGGUCCGAUCGCACUUGACGUAGAAUAAUAUUUAGCAGUUAAAAGUGGCACCCCUAAUAGUUCCAUGUUAGGAAUCCUAACGACAAGUCCACUAAAAGUCACUAAGCUAAGGUAAUUAAGAUAUUAAAGUGAUCAAACCACAAGCAUAUGCAUUGUUUUGUAUCUUUCUUUGCAAUCAUAAGAUAAUACAUUAUUUUAGUUAGGUUAGAAACUAAUCCAAAUCAAAUAUUAGGACAAUCUUUUUGCCUCUCAUGCAACCUUGAAUCAAUACCUCUUAUGGUCAAAGUCUUCAAAUAGACUUCGUACAAGUCAUUGUUAAUUGUUGGCCUCAUGUGAAGUGCUCUGACUCAUCAUGCAUGAACUUGAAUGGAUGAUAGAGCAACGAGGGAAUGAGACAUGCAUCUACAAUAAAAGAUUUGAGCAACGAGGGAAUGAGACAUGCAUCUACGAUAAAAGAUUUGGUUGACGUAAAGAGCCACCGAAUCAUGGUGACAUAGGUCGUAAGACUCGAGUCUAGUUGGAUAAUGACUCAUACGUAAAUUAGAUAUUUGGUCUCCAUACCCAACUAAUUAGAUCGAAUUAAGGUGUUUUAUAAGCUAAUAAUGCAAUAAUACAUCCUUUGAGCUUCAUCUUUUCAGUCGCUUAAAAAUAUUUCUUCUUUAUCCAAACUUUAUAUACUCCUUGAAACUCUGAAAUCUAACCUAAUAAUGCAAUAAUACAUUCUUCGAGCUUCAUCAUUCGAUUCACUUAAAAAUAUUUCUUCUUCGAGUCAAACUUUAUAUUCUUCUUAUAACUUUGAAACCUUCUUAUGCAAUACAAGCGAAGACUAACAUCGAGAGACUAUGGGGCUAUGAAAACUUCAUAACUAAUUUAGAUUUCAUAUUCUCCAAAGACUAAUGUUGAAAAUAUAUUUAAUAGAGUCCUUCAAUACUUAACAUACAUCUUUAAAUAUCUAAGAUAAGAGAAAGAAGCAAAAAUAAAUUGAUAGCUCGAAUUCUAGAUGAUUGGAUGAAUGUUUUACGUUACAAUCCAUAGUAACAUGACAAUGUUUUUUGUUCUUAGCCUAUUGACUCCGAACAAGAAAGUUGAUGAUUGGUAAACAAAGAAAAUUAUGAAAUCAUAAAGAAUUCAUCUUUCAUUUUCGUUGCCAUCUUAAUGGAAAACUAUGCAUCAACUUCUGGGAAAGAAAAGAUUAGAACUUUGUGAUGUUAGGUAGAAAGCCACAGUGAGGACUUACAAGACCAAUUUGGCACCACAAGCUAUUGGUCAUUGUCUAUAUCAUGCAAGGACAUGAGGAGGAACAUCUAGAAUAGGAAGUUGGACCACUGAACAACUUUCUAUCUUGUGGUUUCCAUGGAUUCUUUUACUUAUGAUUAAUAAUUCCAUUUCCUAAAGUUAGAUGCCUCUUCAUUGAUUUCAAUUAAUGGUAGCUGCUUUUUGACUUGCUCAUUUUUGCAAGUCAUGGGACCUAUGUCAUAUGAUGUACUCAUGCGCCAAAGCUUCUUCCAAAACGAAGGAGAGUAAUCUUUUUUCUGUCUUUUUCUCCUUUUUUUUUUGGAAUUAAGAUAUUCUUAUAAUUUUUCUCUACGUUGGUGUAGUUUUUCUUUCUCAAAAGAAGCAAUUAUACCUCCUAAUUUGAUUUAGGGUUUCACUUAAAAGGGUAAGACUGUAGGCUAUUAAAACUCACUAUCAGCUGAAUCUGAUGGGUUGUCAGCCCGUCAGCCCAACAGUUUAUGCAUCUCUGUACCUUCUGAGACGAGAACUUUCUCAUAGCAAAAGAUAAAUACUCUUUGCGUUUCAUUCAAAAAAAGCUAGUGGAAAUACUAAGGAACUUCCUGUUCAUAACUCUGGUAAUACUAUUGAAUGUAGAACGUGAAGUUGCUUCUGGGACGGCGAGGUAUCGAAGCUAACGCCACAAACAUGAUAUGCUACUGGAUUCACCCUGCAAACAUGGAGAUCUAUUGUUGGGAGAACUGAUUCGGGCAGCAGGUGGAAGAACCGCCGCAGAAGAAGGGAAGACUCAGCCGAAAUCGUCACCGAGCGAUGCCAGAAGCCGACCAAAUCGUUGGUGAUACGGCAUAUUUUGGCGCCCAAGACAUGCUAAGUCAGAAUCCGUACUAAGGCACUACUCGACCUCGGAAACCCCAAGGCGACACCGUCCUUGAUAUGCUACUGGAUUCACCCGUCGCCUCACACAGAAGCCGACCAAAUCGUUGGUGAUACGACAUAUUUUGGCGCCCAAGACACGCUAAGUCAGAAUCCGUAGCACUACUCGACCUCGGAAACCCCAAGACGACGCCGCCCCCGAGACACGCCAAGUCAGAAUCCAUACUAAGGCACUGCUAGACACGUCCACCACGCCAACCUACGUACGACUGACCCACGUACAGUAAUAUAAAGACCUCUAGCCAGUAUCUGGCAGGGGAAGGAAAAAAUCAAUGGAUCACUCCACUGACUUGCUCAUCAGAGGGGCCUCAUCAGGUGAUCCUGACGAGAGCCAUUUUUGUAGGAAAACGUGGUCACCUCACGAAGACGAGCUGCCAGCCACCCUGGAGAGGGAGAGACGUAGCUCGGCAUACACAGUGCCCGGAUCGGCACACCAAGGAACGCUGAUCCACACAUCGUCACGAGGGCCUGGUCGACCUCGACAUCCAGCUCAGCCAACAGAAGACUCCCGACAUCGACCAGUGAACCAGGCUGUGCUGACUCACUAGUCACGACACAUUUGUUCACUAACAUUUUGGUGCUAGAAGGAGGGCAUGUCGCAUGAGCAUCCCGCGGGAGCUAUCCCCGAGGGAGAACCACUGGCCGGUCACCCUUUUGUCGGGCCCGGAGAUCAGCCCCUCCCCAUCCUUCGAGAUGGGGGGGAUCCCGGUCUCGACGCUAGAUCAUUGCUGGCGCCCGAGACCAGGUCGGGACAGGAGAAGCCCAAGACCAAAUGAUGGACCCGAGAGGUCCGCCCGAGCAGAGCAUACCCACACAUUGCCGAGUCACACUACCCCACUUCGAGCCUGACACUGUAUCAUCUGACUCGACGGACGACUCGCUUAGGGCCCAAUUGUCCUGGGUCAACCAACGUCUGGACGUGUUCCAGCGUGAGUUUCGAAAAUCGCAAGGCGAGUCCAGCGAAGGUGACUCGGGCGAGUCCCCUUUCACUUAGGAAAUAUAGGGUAAGCCGGUACCUCUCAACUUCAGCCUACCGACAUUGGAGACAUACGAUGACAGCUCUGAUCCCAUGGAUCCAAUGCCGAGUUGCAUCUCGGCCAAUCCAACGCCCGAGUCGUAUCUCGGUCAACCCAACGCCUAAGUCACAUCUCGGCCAAUCCAACGCUCGAGUCGCAUCUCGGCCAACCCAACGCCCGAGUCACAUCUUGGCCAAAUCCAGCAUCUGAGCCAUGCAUCUCGACCAAUCCAACACCCGAGUCUACUCUCGGCCAAAUCUAGCAUCCGAGCCACACACCUUGGCCAUCCAAUGCCCGAGCCAUGCAUCUCGGCCGAUCCAACGCCCGAGUCGCAUCUCAUCCAAAUCCAACGUCCGAGCCACACACCUCGGCCAAUCCAACGGCCAAGCCAUGCCUUAAUCGCACCUCGGCCAAUCCAACGCCCGAGCCAUGCCUCAGUACACCUCGGCCAAUCCAACACCUAAGCCAUGCCUCAGUCGCAUCUCAGCCAAUCUAACUCCCAAGCCAUGCCUUGCCAGACUAGUCCAUUAUCCGAGUUGCCCCAUGUCAAUCCCCAACUCACUACUCGUCAAAUCUCAAACCGAGUCACUCUAGCUCGCUCGCCAACUUGCAAACUCGGCAGCCGUAACUCUGGGCCGUGCCAAACCCGUUAUCCGACCUACGACACGUCAGUUUCGCCUCAUCGGUUUUGCCUCAUCAGGCUCCUGCCGCCCGAUCAGCAGAGUCAAUCCUGCCCAAAGCACGAGGCGUUGUCCCUCUAAAUUGCCCCACGAUGAGUUAAUCCAACUUCCCCUCAUGAGCCAUUAGCCUCACUCCGACCCAAGCAUGCCGCCCAACCCUUUAAGGACCCUACGACACGCCUUAGAGGGGGGGAGAAGUGAUACGAUAUAAUUUGGCCCCCAAGACACGCCAGGUCAGAAUCUGUACUAAUGCAAUGCUCGGCCUUGGGAACCCCGAGACGACGUCGCUCCCAAGACACGUCAGGUCAGAAUCUAUGCUAAGGCACUGCUUGGCACGUCCACCACGCCAACUUGCGUACGAUCGACCCACAUACAGUAAUAUAAAGACCUCUAGCUAGGUGGGGAGGAGGUAAAAAACAAAUCAAUCGGUCACUCGACUGACUUGCUCGUUGGAGGGGCCUCGUCGGGUGAUCCCGACGAGGGCCAUUUUUGUAGGAAAAGGUGGCCACCUCAAGAAGACGAACUGCCAACCACUCGAGAAUCGUCGUCCAGUGCACGAAGGAGAGCAGCCAACCAGCCCGGAUCUCGACUAACGCCAACCAGCACCCCUUCCCGAGGGCGCCGCCACCUCACGAAGACGAGCUGCCAACCACUCCGGAGAAAGAGAGACGCGGCUCGACAUACACAACGCCCGAAUCAGCACACCAAGGAACGAUGAUCAACACUCCGUCGUGAGGGCCCGGUCGACCUCGGCAUCCAGCUCAGUCGAUAGAAGACUCCUGACAUCGACCCGUGGACCGGGUCGUGCUGACUCAUCAGCGACAACACUUUUUUUCAUAACAGGUGUGCUUUUGAGCGAUCAGGUGCUUGUUGCGCAAAGGUGGAUGCCGGAAGAAGAAAGAUAGAGAAGGAGAAAACCAUGGAGGCCCCAGAACGGGUGUUGCCAUCUGCACGAAGAUUGUGGUGAGCAUGUUGAUUAUAAUUCUUUUAAGAAUAUUUUUUUAUAAAUUUAUUAGUGUUUAUGUACAUAAGAAAAGGAUCAAUAAUAGAAUAAUAUGACAUCAUUAUUCUUAUAUGGUUUAUCCUUUAUCAUCUUUUAAAGUUACUUUAUCUUAUUUUCAGAAUGUAAUUUGCUUUUCUGUUUUUUUUUCCACGGUAUAUAGUUAGUAAAUCUGUAACUUUAAUCAUUAUUAACUUUUGCUUUGUUGUUACAGAUGAUUUAUGAGAAUUUUGUGGAACAUUAUAUCUCUUACAUAUUAAUGAUGCAUUUAAAAACACUGGAUUCAAAUCUAAAACUUGAUUAGUACAAUGAUGCACUAAUAUAUUUAUAAAAUCUUAAAUAUCUGAAUCAUUAUCCAGACUUGAAUCAAUUAGAAUCAAUUAGAAGCCGAUCAAAUCGUUGGCACCCCUUCCGACGCCAGGCUAGACCUUCUAAGGAUGACCGCAGCCCCCGAAAAGUAUGGUCUGAACUUAAAAGAAAGGUACAACAACAAACCAGCAACACUAAUGGUGGUGGCGACGUUGAUCUUGAUGGGAUUUCAAGUGAAGGGGAGGCAGUUCUAAAACAUGGUCUCAAGUUAUUCCUUCUGUUCGACAUGUUCGGGUUGUUUGCAUCCUUGAGCAUCAUCCUCUUGUUGAUAUGUUGUGUGCCCAGACAGACUAAAAUGGUGACGGGAAUCCUAAAGUGGAUUUUAUGGCUGGCGGUGUUCUCGACGGCAUUAGCAUUCUCGACCGCCAUUGUGCGAAUAUUUUCUAAUCCGCCCUACACUGGCAUCCUUCUCCUGAGCUGGUUCGGAAUCCUCAGUCUCUUCAUGGUUUGGGUGUGCUUUAGAGCGAUCAGGUGCUUGUUGCGCGAAGGCGGAUGCUGGAAGAAGAAAGAUGGAGAAGGAGAAAGCCACGGAGGCCCCAGAAGGGCCGUUGCCAUCUGCACGAAGACUGUGGUGGGCGUGUUGAUAAUAAUUCUUUUAGGAGUAUUUUCUAUUGUAAAUUAUUUACUGUUUGUUUAUAUAGCGACAAGGUCAAAUAAUAGAAUAAUAUGACCUAUUAUUAUUCUUAUAUGGUUUAUCCUUUAUCAUGUUUUAAAGUUACUUUAUCUUAUUUUCAGAAUGUAAAUUGCUUUUCUGUAAACUUGUUCCUGUACGUCAUCUUCUAUAUAAAAAUUAAUGGAAGUUCAUUUUAGUGUGUUUUCCAUUUGCUUUUCUGUAAACUUGUUCCUGUACGUCAUCAACGUCAAUCCUGACAUACUUUUUUUUGUUUUGCAAGAAAGGAAAAAAAUUAUUUAUUAGAUAGCAUGGGUACAAAAGUCACCUUAAAGAUAUGAGAUAAUAAUCAAAAAAAGAAAAGUUCUGAGAGUCACUCUCCUCACCUAAAAAUAGUAAUUAGAUGCACUCGGCAAGCCCCAUAGUCCCACAUCGAGAAAAUCAAGUUUGAUAUCUCCUGUUUAAACUAUAAAUAAGGGCCUAGGCUUUGAAGUCAAAUGCACCACAAGUGGCAUCAUAAGAAAACCUAAGUAUUUGCUUUGGUUUUAAGUCCACACUCAGUUAAAUAGUUUGGGCUUAUUGAUGAGGUUUUUCUUGUUUAGUAUUUUUGGGUGUUUUAUGGCCUAGGAACAUCUUCCUAAGGCACCGUACUACGUAAAUCUGAUGUUCUUGUCGCUUUUAUCUUUUUGCUUUAUUUUCUUUGUUGUGUUGUCAAAAUUAUCUUGUGGUAAAUUUUCUAUUUUCUAGGGCUAGCUCUAAUAGUUGGCUCCUCUAUUAUAUUCAUGUUAUACAUGUGUGAUCAAGAAAGAGUGAAACAUCUUAACAAUAGCAAAAUCUCAUCAAGAUGCUCUAAGAAAAUUGAGAUGUGCCACUUAGGAUGUCCACAAAGCACUUAAAAUCAGUUUCAAUAUCAAUACGAUUAAAACCAUCGAAUAAGAUUUUAGAGAGUGUAUGAUGAAUAGUUGCUGGUUCAUCAGCACUUAAAAUGACGAUUAGAAGAGAAUGCUCCAUCUCCUCCAAUAUAUGCAACUAGAAAAAAGAACACCACUAGUAUUAAGAUGAAAAAACUGGUACCCUCCUUGUCAUAUUGAUUGAAAGAGCUAUCACAGUUUAAUUUUAGCCACCUAAAUUAAGACCUAGUUCAAGAGAUCGUUUCAUAGAAACUUUAGAAUGAUCCUAUAAUAAUAAAAAAAAAAUUAUCCUAACAAAGAUAGUAUUAGAAGAAGCUUUGAGUUGCUAAAAGAUCCAAUUUGAAGGAGGAAAAGAGGAAGAGAAGUGUGAUUUUGANNNNNNNNNNNNNNNNNNNNCACAAAUAGCUUCCAACACUAACUAGAGUUGAAAGGGGAAGGGGCACUCUAAGAUUGGAUAGUGCCAUACUUAGCAUAAGCAACCUUGACCCAAACGAUAUCAGCACUAUUAGGAAGAUAAAAAAAUUCUUUUGACAUGCAAUGCAUAUUUGGUUAUGUGCAUGUCCUUGAUGCCCAAGCCACUAAUGAACUUAGGCAAAGUGAUGGUGUCCCAAGAAAGCAAGUAAAGAGACCUUUAGAGUUGUCAUGGUUGGACCAAAGGAAUAUGUGGGUUAAUGAAGAGAUUUUAUUAAUAACAGUAGAAGGAGACACUUAAGGAGUGUAUAGGGAUGGAGUUUAAGUACAAAUUAAUCAAGGUGACACAACCAGCUUGUGAUAGAAGGGAGCCUUGCCAUUUACCAAACUUGCUGGUAAUCGGUUGAAUGAUACUAUUUAUACUAGAAAUCGAAAUGUGAGAAGGGACAAUCCAAAUAUUCACAAUAAAUGAAAGAUUUCGACUGCUAAUAUAUUGAUAAACAUUUCUUCAGCGGAUCAUUGAAAUGGAGACGCCCUGUGUAGAUUUUUUGUUCCGCUCCCAUCUUUCUUUCGCUGAAACUACUUGGAAAGGGAUGAUGGAGCCAUGUCGGCUUGUCCCGAAGCGUGGAUGAUUUUUUUUUCUUCUUUUGAAAAGUAAAGAAGAUUAUAUUAGAUCAGCUAAAGCUGCAAAAUCCGAAGAGGUCAAAGUCGUCCAACGAAGACGAGAACAAAAAAAGGUGAUUAUUCAUCCAAAAAAAAUUAGCAUGGUCGUAAGCGACAAGAUCGAGAAAGCGAUCAAAAUAUUUAAACCGGACAACUUGAAGGAAACCGACGACCGGGAUAAUGGUGUGGAGACCCACGAGUCUCGCUGUUAGGGUUGAAGAAGUUGAUCAGCCGGACAGGACACCAAGGUGAUGUUACGUUAAAGCGUUCAGCAUGCAGUCCCGUGAGCACCGCAAUCCAAUCCGAUGAAAUGAUGACUUCGGCAAAAACAUCCAUCCAAUUUUUAUCCGAACAAUUGCGCACGCUGUUGCUAUCCCACUCGCCGUUCGGCUUUCGUCUCCCUCGCUGCGUUUCCAACGCAUCGAUUCCUUGGGAUAAGUUAUUUAAACGGGACUGCAGUGGCCACUGUGAGCUCGAUGACCAAGUCGUCUCUUUGGCGUCUGGUGAGGACAGGCUGUACAAGAAGGAGGAACUGCUCCAAUCACAAGCCUCCAUAUCGAUUUAUCUGCAAGCUUGUUUUCAUUCAUCCAUCCCUCCCUCCCUCCUGAUGUAUCAUCAGCCAGAUGGAAGGAUAGGGUGUUGAUGAGGUAUGUUUCGCUGAAACUAAUUAAAAAUUUAAGUGAAGAUAGGUUUUAGGAAGAUAUUAUUGUAAUUAGAAGAAAAGUUAGGAAAAGCUAUAUCAUAAGUCCAUCAUGUUUCGUCAACAUUCUCAAACACAAAUACCGCACGUCGACUGUCCCAGUCUCGCUUCAUUCUCUAGGUAGUUUCGGCGAACGAGAAAGCAAGCUGAGCAAAAGUAUUCUGCGAAGUCCAGACCAAUGGGAUGCAAGACGAGAAGAAGCAGCUUACGUUUUGGAGACGACUUGGUCAACAAGGCCGGCGUCUUGAUGGAGACUGGACCAAGAAGACCGAGCGGGAGGAAUCGUUAGAGAUUUUUAGCCUAUAUAUAGGCGUCCUAACUUCGAGUUGUUUGUGACCAAAUCGAGAGAGAGAGAGAGAGUGUGUGUGUGUGUAACUAAGCAUGGAUCCGAGACUAGAGGAAGCAGCUUAUGCGGGAGACCUCACUUUGUUGCGGCGUUUGCUACAAGAAGACCGGCUCCUGCUCCACAGGCAAGCCAUCGCCGCGGCUCACCUGUCGGACAGCCCCCUCCACAUCGCUGCAUCGCUCGGACACUCCGACCUGGUCCGGGAGAUCCUCACCGUAAACCCGGAGCUCGCGCAUGGCCGCAACCGCGAAGGCCUUUCCACCUUGCACCUGGCCGCUGCCCAAGGCCACUUAUCCGUGGUGAAAGAGCUGCUGCAGUACGCAGCCGCUGCCAAUCUCUGCUUGGCGACCGACAACGAUGGCUUAAUGCCGGCCCACACUGCAGCCUUACGAGGCAGGCUUGAUGUAUUGACUGUGUUACUGGAUGCGUGCCCGGAGUCCGCGCGAGCUGUGACAUCGCAAGGUGACUCCAUCCUUCAUAUUUCUGUGAAAUCAAACAGCUUCGAGACCGUGCAGUUCUUGCUGAACAGAGCUGGUGAAAACGAUGAGCUGCUCAACUCCGGAGAUGCGAAAGGCAACACCGUCCUGCACCUUGCUGUGGCCAGAAAACAGCUCCGGGUAGGUAUUCCUGAUCCCAAUUAGAGGAAAUGAAUUUGUCUUCUUCUUUUCACCAGGUCUUUAUGCAUCUCUGCACCUCCUGAUACGAGAGCUUUCUCACAACAAAAGAUAAAUACUAUUUGCAUUUCAUUCAUAAAAAAUCAAAUGGAAAUACCGAGGAACUUCCUGUUCAUAGCUCUGGCAAUACGAUUGAAUGCAGACCGUGAAGUUGCUUCUGGGAAGACGAGGUAUCGAAGUUAACGCCACAAACAUGAGAGGCGACACCGUCCUUGAUAUGCUAUUGGAUUCACCCUGCCAACAUGGAGAUCUAUUGUUGGGAGAACUGAUUCGGGCAGCAGGUGGAAGAACCGCCGCAGAAGAAGGGAAGACUCAGCCGAAAUCGUCACCGAGCGAUGCCAGAGCCUCUGCCACUGUCGCGUCACACAGAAGCCGACCAAAUCGUUGGCACCCCUUCCGACGUCAGGCUCGACCUUCUAAGGAUGACUGCAGCCCCCGAAAAGUAUGGUCUGAAUCUAAAGAAAGGUACAACAACAAACCAGCAACACUAAUGGUGGUGGCGACGUUGAUCGCCACCAUCACAUUCGAAGCUGGGCUGAACCCCCCUGAUGGGGUUAAGCAGAAAGAUGAUGGGAGUUCAAGUGAAAGGGAGGCAGUCAAGUUAUUCCUACUGUUCGACAUGUUCGGGUUGUUUGC